CAGAGGUCCCGAGCGUUGUUCGGAUUCACUGGGCGUAAAGGGUGCGUAGGUGGUGAGGUAAGUCGGAUGUGAAAUCUCCGGGCUCAACCCGGAAAUGGCAUUGGAAACUACCUUGCUGGAGGAUUUGAGGGGGGAUUGGAAUACUUGGUGUAGCAGUGAAAUGCGUAGAUAUCAAGUGGAACACCAGUGGCGAAGGCGAAUCCCUGGAAAAUACCUGACACCGAGGCACGAAAGCUAGGGGAGCAAACAGGAUUAGAUACCCUGGUAGUCCUAGCCCUAAACGGUGCUUGCUUGCUGUAAGAGGAAUCGACCCCUCUUGUGGCGGAGCUAACGCGUUAAGCAAGCCGCCUGGGAAGUACGGUCGCAAGAUUA
This 372-nucleotide ribosomal RNA is filed under the name uncultured organism. Its description in RNAcentral is "bacterial SSU rRNA". It matches the Rfam family "Bacterial small subunit ribosomal RNA", at positions 526 to 896 of the family's 1533-position model. The record is from RNAcentral.